RNAcentral lists this long non-coding RNA (305 nucleotides) under Solanum tuberosum (potato). RNAcentral describes it as "long non-coding RNA (STUB_LNC003063)". The record is from RNAcentral. Lineage: Eukaryota; Viridiplantae; Streptophyta; Magnoliopsida; Solanales; Solanaceae.
GCGAAUCCAGGAUUUCAAGAAAACGGGUGCACCAUUGCUUUAGAAUUUAAUUUUUUUUUUGAAAAAACGAGUGUUAUUAGUUACUAAAAAAAAUUGAAGUGAAUUGUGGCUGGCUGGGAUUGAACUCAGGACCUUGGUGUUAAAAUUUGGCUGUCAAACCAGUGAACCAUCCAGCAACUUUAAGAACGGGUUCAACAAGUGUUUAUUUAAUAUGUUCUUUAAUAAUUAUACAAGUAAUAUAUCGAGUUUAGUCGGAGGACCACGGGUUCGGGUGACCCAAUUUUUACACAUAAAUUCGCCACUGC